RNAcentral lists this ribosomal RNA (253 nucleotides) under uncultured bacterium. Its description in RNAcentral is "partial 16S ribosomal RNA". It matches the Rfam family "Bacterial small subunit ribosomal RNA", at positions 524 to 776 of the family's 1533-position model. The record is from RNAcentral.
UACGGAGGGUGCGAGCGUUGUCCGGAUUUAUUGGGUUUAAAGGGUGCGUAGGCGGCUCUUUAAGUCAGUGGUGAAAGCCCGCAGCUUAACUGUGGAACUGCCAUUGAUACUGGAGAGCUUGAGUACGGUUGAAGUAGGCGGAAUUUAUGGUGUAGCGGUGAAAUGCAUAGAUACCAUAAAGAACACCGAUAGCGUAGGCAGCUUACUAAGCCGUAACUGACGCUGAGGCACGAAAGCAUGGGGAGCGAACAGG